RNAcentral lists this ribosomal RNA (388 nucleotides) under uncultured bacterium. RNAcentral describes it as "bacterial SSU rRNA". It matches the Rfam family "Bacterial small subunit ribosomal RNA", at positions 28 to 420 of the family's 1533-position model. The record is from RNAcentral.
GAUGAACGCUGGCGGCAUGCCUUACACAUGCAAGUCGAACGGUAACGGGCCUUCGGGUGCCGACGAGUGGCGAACGGGUGAGUAAUGUAUCGGAACGUACCUUUCAGUGGGGGAUAACGUAGCGAAAGUUACGCUAAUACCGCAUAUUCUGUGAGCAGGAAAGCAGGGGAUCGCAAGACCUUGCGCUGAUUGAGCGGCCGAUAUCAGAUUAGCUAGUUGGUGAGGUAAAGGCUCACCAAGGCGUCGAUCUGUAGCGGGUCUGAGAGGAUGAUCCGCCACACUGGAACUGAGACACGGUCCAGACUCCUACGGGAGGCAGCAGUGGGGAAUUUUGGACAAUGGGGGCAACCCUGAUCCAGCCAUGCCGCGUGAGUGAAGAAGGCCUCGG